CAAUAGCGUAUAUUAAAGUUGUUGCAGUUAAAAAGCUCGUAGUUGGACUUGUGGUGGUUCCUGUGGUCCAUUUUUGGUACUAUCGGGGACCGCCAUCUUUGGGUGGAUCCUGUGUGGCAUUAGGUUGUAGUGGUCGGGUAGUUCGGGACGUUUACUUUGAAAAAAUUAGAGUGUUCAAGGCAGGCUCUCGCCUGAAUACAUUAGCAUGGAAUAAUGGAAGAGGACCUCGGUCCUAUUUUGUUGGUUUCUAGGGCCGAAGUAAUGAUUAAGAGGGACAGUUGGGGGCAUUCGUAUUUAAUUGUCAGAGGUGAAAUUCUCGGAUUUAUGAAAGACGAACAACUGCGAAAGCAUUUGCCAAGGAUGUUUUCAUUAA
Molecule: ribosomal RNA, 373 nt
Filed under: uncultured eukaryote
Lineage: Eukaryota
Description: partial 18S ribosomal RNA
Rfam family: Eukaryotic small subunit ribosomal RNA
Source: RNAcentral